RNAcentral lists this long non-coding RNA (241 nucleotides) under Vigna radiata. RNAcentral describes it as "long non-coding RNA (VRAD_LNC008284)". The record is from RNAcentral. Lineage: Eukaryota; Viridiplantae; Streptophyta; Magnoliopsida; Fabales; Fabaceae.
UGUGCUCACCAAAUUGAAAGCAAUUGGAAAUAAAAUAAAAGCAACCCUUGUUCCAGUGGGCCCUUCCCAAGGGAAUUGAAAUUAGAAUUCUUCCCAAAACUAGUUGAAUAAUCGUGCCUCUCACCAAGCUAUUAACGUCCUGUGCUUCCUAAUGCAACAAGCUAGACUUCUUCUCUCAACUAUCAUGCAUACUUCCAUCAAAUCAACUCUUCACCCUCAAACAAAUGCAAGAAAGGACAAG